This 370-nucleotide ribosomal RNA is filed under the name uncultured cyanobacterium. Its description in RNAcentral is "bacterial SSU rRNA". It matches the Rfam family "Bacterial small subunit ribosomal RNA", at positions 376 to 763 of the family's 1533-position model. The record is from RNAcentral. Lineage: Bacteria; Bacillati; Cyanobacteriota.
CGAAAGCCUGACGGAGCAAGACCGCGUGAGGGAUGACGGCCUAAUGGUUGUAAACCUCUUUUCUCUGGGAAGAUAAUGACGGUACCAGAGGAAUAAGCCUCGGCUAACUCCGUGCCAGCAGCCGCGGUAAUACGGAGGAGGCAAGCGUUAUCCGGAAUUAUUGGGCGUAAAGCGUCCGUAGGUGGUUAAUCAAGUCAGCUGUUAAAGAGCGGAGCUCAACUCCGUUAGAGCGGUUGAAACUGAUUGACUAGAGUUUGGUAGGGGUCGAGGGAAUUCCCAGUGUAGCGGUGAAAUGCGUAGAUAUUGGGAAGAACACCGGUGGCGAAAGCGCUCGACUGGGCCUGAACUGACACUGAGGGACGAAAGCUAG